Molecule: ribosomal RNA, 253 nt
Filed under: Aplanochytrium stocchinoi
Lineage: Eukaryota; Bigyra; Thraustochytrida; Thraustochytriidae
Description: partial Eukaryotic large subunit ribosomal RNA
Rfam family: Eukaryotic large subunit ribosomal RNA
Source: RNAcentral
CCGAUCGGGCAAUGCCGCGAAGCUACCACGCGUUGGAUUAUGGCUGAACGCCUCUAAGCCAGAAUCCGUGCUAGAAACGAUGAUGUUAGUCCCGCAAAUCUCAGUCGAGUAAAGAUAGAGCUUCGGCUCGUAAACCAUAGUUGGCUGGUCAUGUUCUGUAGGGCGGAAAGGCCUUGCAGUUCUACCGGCGAAUAGCAUUCGAAAUAUUUGCGGGGGUAAAUCCUUUGCAGACGACUUAAAUAGAACGGAGUGC